GCGCCCAUAGCUCAGUUGGAUAGAGUGACGGACUACGAAUCCGUAGGUCGAGUGUUCGAAUCACUCUGGGCGCACCA
This 77-nucleotide transfer RNA is filed under the name Thermodesulfobacteriota bacterium. RNAcentral's name for it is "tRNA-Arg". It matches the Rfam family "tRNA". Rfam says of the family: Transfer RNA (tRNA) molecules are approximately 80 nucleotides in length. Their secondary structure includes four short double-helical elements and three loops (D, anti-codon, and T loops). Further hydrogen bonds mediate the characteristic L-shaped molecular structure. tRNAs have two regions of fundamental functional importance: the anti-codon, which is responsible for specific mRNA codon recognition, and the 3' end, to which the tRNAs corresponding amino acid is attached (by aminoacyl-tRNA synthetases). tRNAs cope with the degeneracy of the genetic code in two manners: having more than one tRNA (with a specific anti-codon) for a particular amino acid; and 'wobble' base-pairing, i.e. permitting non-standard base-pairing at the 3rd anti-codon position. The record is from RNAcentral. Lineage: Bacteria; Pseudomonadati; Thermodesulfobacteriota.